AAACGUAGGUGGCAAGCGUUGUCCGGAAUUACUGGGUGUAAAGGGAGCGCAGGCGGAAGAAUAAGUUGGAUGUUUAAUCUACGGGCUCAACCCGUAUCAGCAUUCAAAACUGUUUUUCUUGAGUGGUGCAGAGGUAGGCGGAAUUCCCGGUGUAGCGGUGGAAUGCGUAGAUAUCGGGAGGAACACCAGUGGCGAAGGCGGCCUACUGGGCACUAACUGACGCUGAGGCUCGAAAGCAUGGGUAGCAAACAGGAUUAGAUACCCUGGUAGUCCAUGCCGUAAACGAUGAUUACUAGGUGUGGGAGGAUUGACCCCUUCCGUGCCGCAGUUAACACAAUAAGUAAUCCACCUGGGGAGUACGACCGCAAGGUUGAA
Molecule: ribosomal RNA, 375 nt
Filed under: uncultured bacterium
Lineage: Bacteria
Description: bacterial SSU rRNA
Rfam family: Bacterial small subunit ribosomal RNA
Source: RNAcentral